GACGAACGCUGGCGGCGUGCUUAACACAUGCAAGUCGAACGGAAAGGCCCUGCUUUUGUGGGGUGCUCGAGUGGCGAACGGGUGAGUAACACGUGAGUAACCUGCCCUUGACUUUGGGAUAACUUCAGGAAACUGGUGCUAAUACCGGAUAGGAGCUCCUGCUGCAUGGUGGGGGUUGGAAAGUUUCGGCGGUGGGGGAUGGACUCGCGGCUUAUCAGCUUGUUGGUGGGGUAGUGGCUUACCAAGGCGUUGACGGGUAGGCGGCCCGAGAGGGUGACCGGGCACAUUGGGACUGAGAGACGGCGCAGACUCCUCCGGGAGGCAGCAGUGGGGAAUAUUGCACAAUGGGGGGAAGCCUGAUGCAGCAACGCCGCGUGCGGGAUGACGGCCUUCGGGUUGUAAACCGCGUUCGCCUGAGACGAAGCGUGAGUGACGGUAAUGGGUAAAGAAGCAACGGCUAACUACGUG
RNAcentral lists this ribosomal RNA (468 nucleotides) under uncultured bacterium. RNAcentral describes it as "partial 16S ribosomal RNA". It matches the Rfam family "Bacterial small subunit ribosomal RNA", at positions 28 to 507 of the family's 1533-position model. The record is from RNAcentral.